GGAGAAUGCCUUAAAGAAUGUUCAGGUGGGAGCACCAGUCUGAGGAGCCAAAGGGCUGAAGCCAGCAGGCCCCAAUGACCAGCCUCAAAAGAGCCCACACACCUGGGCCCCCAACACUAGCGCGCCCUCAUGAGGGCGCUCGCGGCAUCUUUAAUCCUCCAAGCAAUGAGAGGGUUAAGCUUCCUCGCGUUACUUGCCGCAGUAAGUGGAAAGGAAAGAAGUGUCAACUCUGUUCUCACCACAGCGGGGCUGUCGGAUGGCACCUCCCCCCGCCCCGCGCACCCGGCCCGGCCGGCUCCCCCGCCCUCCUCUCGGAGCGCGCGCACACACCUCCCACCGCUUUGCCCAAAUUAUUUUCGAUCCCGGGAGACUCCGGAUGCCAGACGCGCUCCGCAGCGGCGGCGGCGGCCGCGCCUGAUUCAUUGCGCCAAAGCUGCAGAUGCGACCUCCCGCCUGCGCCCUGUGCCCCGGCCCGCGCCGGGCUGCGUGCGCGCCUGGAGAGAUUCGGGGGGGCGGCAAUUUGUAGGCUCUCCCCCCUCAAGAGUGCACCGUCUCCAUGGAAACCGCGGAGGAGGUCACGGUAGCUGGGCCCCCUCGCGUCACCCCGAGCCUCGCCGGCUGCAGGCGCCGGGAUUGCGGCCUCCCAGGCGCCUCGGCCCGCGUGGACUCUACUCUGAGUUCCCCGCCCCCGCUCCACUCAGCCCGCGGCUCAGACCAUAUGACUCUGCCGGGUCCUAACCGGGAAGGGCGCACCUGGGCACCAGUGCGCUAGGCUAUGCCUCUGUCCCCAGGCUUUGGCACGAGGGAGUGCGCCAAGAUACACGUGCCCAGCUCCAAGACUAGAACACGUGCAGCGAGACGCCACCAAGGGGCUCACGGAACUAGUGAAUGCCCUGUGCGAUCGACCUAUAUAGGUGCACCACUCCAGACCUCUUGCUAAAACAAGACCACCCGUAAAGAACCUGGAGUCCCGCCUAGGUAUCUUGCUAGCUGUGUGACUUCGGGCAAGUCGCAACCUCUCUGCGUCUCACCUUGCUCAUCAGCAAAAUGGAAUUGUCGCGUGGCUUGAGAAAAAGUACGUUAAACGUUUAACACUAUGUUUGGCACGUGGUUCUGAAAAAUGGUAGCUGUCACUAGGGUUAUUUUUUACAGACUGCAAAAGCCGAGGCCCAAAAAGCGUGGCUCAAGGGCGCGGUCAGCCCAAAGGCCGAGUUACACCUUGGGAGCUUCCCAGCAUCUUAGCCUAGUCUCAGGCCGGAGGUUGAGGGGACACGUGCCUGCUUUGCUGAGCCUGGGCCUGCCUGGGGCGCGACGGGCGGGACCUCCUAGCCAGCCACAUCCGCACCCGGAACCCUGGAGACGGGACUCCCCGCAGUGCGCGCCCCACCCCCCUCCUGCCCCAGCACUAUUAGCAACGGGCCUGCCUGCCCUCCCUCCCUCCCAGGGCUGAGGCCGCACCUGCCCCACCGGAUGGCCGCCCCGGGGCCAGGCCGUGCCCCCCACCGCGCACACUUCCUCCCGGACCCCCAGCGCCCCGCUGAGCACGCAGGGAGGAGGGGACCCGGCCGCCCCCGCCCAGCCAGCUUCCCACAGCCCGAGCAGCCCGGAGCCGAGGAGGCAGGAAGUCUCAGAGCCGGGGCGUGGAGGCGGGGUAGGGGCAGGAAGUUGGGGGUGACUCUCCCAGAGACCCUAGACAGGCCCCGGCGUGGGAGCGGGAUGGGCGGGCGCGUAGGGAUUAAGGGCGCGCCCCCACCCCCGCCUCUGUAGCCUUAGACCACGUGAUCCCGGCCGGAGCGCCCCGCUGGGUGAGGGCGAAGGCCGCUACCUCUGGCGACCCCCAGCAGCGCGCACUAGGAGGGAGGGGCAGCCUUUGUCUACUUUGCCGCAGAAGCAGCCCCCCACAACCCCUCCCCCACGCGCCCGGCCGGGCCCUGCACAGCCCGGGUUUUCCAUCCGGCCCGGCUCGGCUCGGCAGCUGUCAGGGGACCGAGCUGACCUUCGCAAGCAGGGAGUUUCAAUUAGCCGCAGAUCAGAUAAGCGGGCGGGCCAGUCUCUCCGGGCACCGCGGGGGCGCAGCCCCGCCCCCGCCACGCCGCGCCAAACGCGCUCCAGAUGGGAACAAAGAUGGGGACGCAGCUCCACCUGCCUCCCCGGGGAGGGGGGAACUGGAGGCCCCGCCGAGAGGAGCUUCCCAACGGAGGAAGGGGUUGCGCACCCUCCCCAGCCCGUCUAGGCUCUCAUUCGGGGCUGGGGUCUAGUCAAAACGAUCCUUGCAACUCUCCUUGCCUCCUGCACAGCGGAGAGGUGCCUGCCACGCUGACCUCAUCUCCAGGCGGGCAUCGAGCCCUCCCACCCCCGGAGGAACGCUUUUGCCAUCUCUGAUCUCAUCCGGAGCUCUCCCUGGGAGGCAGAGAGGAGACAAGAGCCCAACAGAGAAAGGAACCUGAGGUAGAGAAGGGCUGGACUUCUUGAUCCAGAUCACACCAACCACAACAUUCUUUCAGAUGUUUAUCUAGUGCGUACUAAGUACCAGGCGCAGUUUAGACCAUGGGGACAUCAGCCUCUUAGAGCUUACAUUCUCAUUCAGGGAGACAGACCAUAAUCAAGUAAACAAAUAGUUGAACAGAAUCAUUUCGGAGAUUCUAAAGAGCCAUAAGAUACUAAAACAGGCCACGUGAGACUGGAUUUCAGGGAGGUGACGUGUUAUGGUAGUCAGGGAGGGCCUCUCUGAGGAGGUGACAUCUGAACUGAAGCCUGAAAGACCAGAAGGAACCAGUCAAGCAAAGGAGAGGGUGUGGAGCAUGCCACUGUGGACGUGACUUUUGGUUCAAAGGGGAAGCAGACAGGACAGGGCUUUGCAGACCAGGUGUGGCAUCAGGGUUUAUGAAAAGUGCAGUGGGAGCCUUUGGUGGGUUCUAAGCUGGGAGUGACAUGGUCUGACUUACAUUUUUAAAGAUCCCUCUGGCUACUGUAUAGAUCAGAGGAAGGCAGAGGGAUAAGAGAGACCAGAGAGGAGCAGGGAGGAUGGGGCUGGAGGGGAGGAAUGGGGAGGGGGGAUGGCUUUCUGCUGUAGUGAUAUAUUUUGACUGAUGAAGUGGAUUGAGGUGAAGCAACAACAGAAGCCUGGUGAGAAAGAGGCAGGCCUUGAACCUACAUCAGCCUUUGGGAGGGAGCAUGGAGGGGCUGCCCAGAGGUGAAGGGUAAAGCUAUAGAGCAAGAAUGCCAGGGUUCAAAUGCUGGUACAGAUAUUUUCCAGCCGAGUAACCUUGAGCAGUGUCUCUAUCAAUAUCACCAAGCAUUUAAAAAAGAAUAGCAGAUUGUCAUUGUAAGGUUUGAAUAUGAUAACAUCUGAAAAGUGUUUAUCACAAAGCCUGGUAAAUAGG
Molecule: long non-coding RNA, 3383 nt
Organism: Bos taurus (domestic cattle)
Lineage: Eukaryota; Metazoa; Chordata; Mammalia; Artiodactyla; Bovidae
Source: Ensembl